RNAcentral lists this ribosomal RNA (448 nucleotides) under uncultured bacterium. Its description in RNAcentral is "partial 16S ribosomal RNA". It matches the Rfam family "Bacterial small subunit ribosomal RNA", at positions 329 to 793 of the family's 1533-position model. The record is from RNAcentral.
UUCCAGACUCCUACGGGAGGCAGCAGUCGGGAAUAUUGCGCAAUGGAGGAAACUCUGACGCAGUGACGCCGCGUGCAGGAAGAAGGUUUUCGGAUUGUAAACUGCUUUAGACAGGGAAGAUACAAGACAGUACCUGUAAAAUAAGCUCCGGCUAACUACGUGCCAGCAGCCGCGGUAAUACGGAGGGUGCAAGCGUUACUCGGAAUCACUGGGCGUAAAGAGCGCGUAGGCGGGAUAGCAAGUCAGAUGUGAAAUCCUAUGGCUUAACCAUAGAACUGCAUUUGAAACUGUUAUUCUAGAGUAUGGGAGAGGUAGGUGGAAUUCUUGGUGUAGGGGUAAAAUCCGUAGAGAUCAAGAGGAAUACUCAUUGCGAAGGCGACCUGCUAGAACAUAACUGACGCUGAUGCGCGAAAGCGUGGGGAGCAAACAGGAUUAGAUACCCCAGUAC